CCUGGGAUGGCUCAGUUGGUAGAGCACAAGAUUCUCAAUCUCAGGACUGUGGGUUCAAGCCAGAUGUUUGGCA
Molecule: non-coding RNA, 73 nt
Organism: Podarcis lilfordi (Lilford's wall lizard)
Lineage: Eukaryota; Metazoa; Chordata; Lepidosauria; Squamata; Lacertidae
Source: the annotation of a GenBank genome assembly